Molecule: ribosomal RNA, 2895 nt
Filed under: Clostridioides difficile
Lineage: Bacteria; Bacillati; Bacillota; Clostridia; Peptostreptococcales; Peptostreptococcaceae
Description: bacterial LSU rRNA
Rfam family: Bacterial large subunit ribosomal RNA
Source: RNAcentral
UCAAGUUAUUAAGGGUGCAGGGCGGAUGCCUUGGCACUAGGAGCCGAUGAAGGACGUGAUAAGCUGCGAUAAGCUUCGGGGAGUUGCACGUAAACUUUGAUCCGAAGAUUUCCGAAUGAGGAAACUCACUUAGAGUAAUGUCUAAGUAUCAUUAAGUGAAUACAUAGCUUAAUGAGGGGAACUCAGGGAACUGAAACAUCUAAGUACCUGAAGGAAGAGAAAGAAAUUCGAUUCCGUAAGUAGCGGCGAGCGAACGCGGAUUAGCCCAAACCAAUAAAGUUUUCUUUAUUGGGGUUGCGGACAUAUCAUAACGAAGAGGUAUCGUAAUUGAAGAGGUUUGGAAAGACCCACCACAGAAGGUAAUAGUCCUGUAUGUUAAACGAGAAGACUUCAGAUAUGAUCCAGAGUACCACGGGACACGUGAAACCCUGUGGGAAGCAGGAGGGACCACCCUCCAAGGCUAAAUACUACCUAGUGACCGAUAGCGUAUAGUACCGUGAGGGAAAGGUGAAAAGAACCCCGGGAGGGGAGUGAAAUAGAACCUGAAACCCUGCACUUACAAGCUGUGGAAGCACAUUUCUUGUGUGACCGCGUACUUUUUGUAGAACGGGCCAACGAGUUACGUUAAGUAGCAAGGUUAAGCACUUAAGGUGCGGAGCCGUAGCGAAAGCGAGUUUUAACUGAGCGUUCAGUUACUUGACGUAGACCCGAAACCGGGCGACCUACCCAUGAGCAGGAUGAAGCGAAAGUAAAAUUUCGUGGAGGUCCGAACCCACGAGCGUUGAAAAGCUCGGGAUGACUUGUGGGUAGCGGUGAAAUUCCAAUCGAGCCCGGAGAUAGCUGGUUCUCCCCGAAAUAGCUUUAGGGCUAGCCUCAAGGUGAGAGAUACGGAGGUAGAGCACUGAAUGUCCUAGGGGGUAUUGCACCUACCGAAGACUAUCAAACUCCGAAUGCCGUCAUCUUAUACUUGGGAGUCAGACUGUGGGUGAUAAGAUUCAUAGUCAAAAGGGCAACAGCCCAGAUCGUCAGCUAAGGUCCCUAAAUGUAAGUUAAGUGGUAAAGGAUGUGGGAUUGCACAGACAACCAGGAUGUUGGCUUAGAAGCAGCCACUCAUUCAAAGAGUGCGUAAUAGCUCACUGGUCGAGUGAUCCUGCGCCGAAGAUUUCCGGGGCUAAAACUUACUACCGAAGCUACGGCAUCAUUAUGAUGGGUAGGGGAGCUUCCCAUACGGGUUGAAGCAUGACCGUAAGGACAUGUGGACAGUAUGGGAGUGAGAAUGUUGGCAUGAGUAGCGAGAUGUGGGUGAGAAUCCCACAGGCCGUAAACCCAAGGUUUCCAGGGGAAGGUUCGUCCGCCCUGGGUUAGUCGGGACCUAAGCUGAGGCCGAAAGGCGUAGGUGAUGGACAACAGGUUGAUAUUCCUGUACUACCGAUAACCGUUUGAGAGAAGGGAUGACACAGUAGGAUAAGCUAAGCACACUGUUGGUUAUGUGUGCCCAAGCAUUGAGGCAGUCAAAGUAGGCAAAUCCGCUUUGAUAAUGCUGGGAUGUGAUGGGGAGCGAAAUUUAGUAGCGAAGUAGCUGAUUUCACACUGUCAAGAAAAGUCUCUAUCGAGGUUAAAGGUACCCGUACCGCAAACCGACACAGGUGGGUGAGGAGAGUAUCCUAAGGCCAGCGAGAGAACUGUUGUUAAGGAACUCGGCAAAAUGACCCCGUAACUUAGGGAUAAGGGGUGCCACCAUCCGGUGGCCGCAGAGAAUAGGCCCAAGCGACUGUUUACCAAAAACAUAGGUUUCUGCUAAGUCGCAAGACGAUGUAUAGGAGCUGACGCCUGCCCGGUGCUGGAAGGUUAAGGGGAUCUGUUAGAGCAAUCGAAGCAGUGAACUUAAGCCCCAGUAAACGGCGGCCGUAACUAUAACGGUCCUAAGGUAGCGAAAUUCCUUGUCGGGUAAGUUCCGACCCGCACGAAAGGCGUAACGAUUUGGGCACUGUCUCAACAACAGACUCGGUGAAAUUGUAAUUCCGGUGAAGAUGCCGGAUACCUGCGACAGGACGGAAAGACCCCAUGGAGCUUUACUGUAGCUUGACAUUGGGUCUUGGUACUACAUGUACAGGAUAGGUGGGAGGCUUUGAAACCAGGACGCCAGUUUUGGCGGAGCCAUCCUUGGGAUACCACCCUUGUAGUACUGGGACUCUAACCAUAGGCCAUGAAUCUGGUCUUGGGACACUGUCAGGUGGGCAGUUUGACUGGGGCGGUCGCCUCCCAAAAGGUAACGGAGGCGCUCAAAGGUUCUCUCAGUACGGUCGGAAAUCGUACGUAGAGUGUAAAGGCAAAAGAGAGCUUGAUUGCAAGACAUACAGGUCGAGCAAGGAUGAAAAUCGGACUUUAGUGAUCCGGUGGUUCUGCGUGGAAGGGCCAUCGCUCAACGGAUAAAAGCUACCCUGGGGAUAACAGGCUUAUCUCCCCCAAGAGUCCACAUCGACGGGGAGGUUUGGCACCUCGAUGUCGGCUCAUCACAUCCUGGGGCUGUAGUAGGUCCCAAGGGUUGGGCUGUUCGCCCAUUAAAGUGGUACGCGAGCUGGGUUCAGAACGUCGUGAGACAGUUCGGUCCCUAUCCGUCGCAGGCGUAGGAAAUUUGAGAAGACCUGUCCUUAGUACGAGAGGACCGGGAUGGACGUACCUCUGGUGUACCAGUUGUUCUGCCAAGGGCAUGGCUGGGUAGCUAUGUACGGAAUGGAUAAGCGCUGAAAGCAUCUAAGCGCGAAGCCAACUUCAAGAUAAGAUUUCCCACCGCAAGGGUAAGACCCCAGAAAGACUAUCUGGUUGAUAGGUCGAAGGUGUAAGUGCAGCAAUGUAUUUAGCUUAUCGAUACUAAUAGGUCGAGGACUUGACCAA